UUGACCUCAAAUCAGGUAGGACUACCCGCUGAACUUAAGCAUAUCAAUAAGCGGAGGAAAAGAAACCAACAGGGAUUGCCUCAGUAGCGGCGAGUGAAGCGGCAAAAGCUCAAAUUUGAAAUCUGGCGUCUUUGGCGUCCGAGUUGUAAUUUGAAGAAGGUAUCUUUGGGCCCGGCUCUUGUCUAUGUUCCUUGGAACAGGACGUCACAGAGGGUGAGAAUCCCGUGCGAUGAGAUGGCCCGGGUCUAUGUAAAGUUCCUUCGACGAGUCGAG
Molecule: ribosomal RNA, 273 nt
Filed under: Candida dubliniensis
Lineage: Eukaryota; Fungi; Ascomycota; Pichiomycetes; Serinales; Debaryomycetaceae
Description: partial 28S ribosomal RNA
Rfam family: Eukaryotic large subunit ribosomal RNA
Source: RNAcentral